Non-coding RNA from Danio rerio (zebrafish), 133 nucleotides. The record is from RefSeq and is a predicted model, not a curated record. Lineage: Eukaryota; Metazoa; Chordata; Actinopteri; Cypriniformes; Danionidae.
CUUGGAGGAUGGCCUUGAGGUGGCAGUAAAAAUUGCCAGAAAGCCAUCGAACAUGAAAUACAUCAACAUCGCUGGUCAUCCUGAGCCCCUUCCUUUAGAGAUCGGCCUGUUGAUACUGGCUCAUAGAGGUGGC